GGCGGCGUAGCUCAGUUGGUUAGAGCAGCGGAAUCAUAAUCCGAAGGUCGAAGGUUCGAGUCCUUCCGCCGCUA
Molecule: transfer RNA, 74 nt
Filed under: Gaiellaceae bacterium
Lineage: Bacteria; Bacillati; Actinomycetota; Thermoleophilia; Gaiellales; Gaiellaceae
Also listed under: 2 other names
Description: tRNA-Met
Rfam family: tRNA
About the family: Transfer RNA (tRNA) molecules are approximately 80 nucleotides in length. Their secondary structure includes four short double-helical elements and three loops (D, anti-codon, and T loops).
Source: RNAcentral